This 497-nucleotide ribosomal RNA is filed under the name uncultured bacterium. Its description in RNAcentral is "partial 16S ribosomal RNA". It matches the Rfam family "Bacterial small subunit ribosomal RNA", at positions 28 to 507 of the family's 1533-position model. The record is from RNAcentral.
GAUGAACGCUGGCGGCGUGCCUAAUACAUGCAAGUCGAGCGAACAGACGAGGAGCUUGCUCCUCUGACGUUAGCGGCGGACGGGUGAGUAACACGUGGAUAACCUACCUAUAAGACUGGGAUAACUUCGGGAAACCGGAGCUAAUACCGGAUAAUAUAUUGAACCGCAUGGUUCAAUAGUGAAAGACGGUUUUGCUGUCACUUAUAGAUGGAUCCGCGCCGCAUUAGCUAGUUGGUAAGGUAACGGCUUACCAAGGCAACGAUGCGUAGCCGACCUGAGAGGGUGAGCGGCCACACUGGAACUGAGACACGGUCCAGAGUCCUACGGGAGGCAGCAGUAGGGAAUCUUCCGCAAUGGGCGAAAGCCUGACGGAGCAACGCCGCGUGAGUGAUGAAGGUCUUCGGAUCGUAAAACUCUGUUAUUAGGGAAGAACAAAUGUGUAAGUAACUAUGCACGUCUUGACGGUACCUAAUCAGAAAGCCACGGCUAACUACGUG